CUCCUUGAUGAUGAAGAGAUCGCUUUGUACAUCCUCGCUGGACUCGACGUCGAGUACAACCCCGUGGUGUCGGCGGUUGAGGCGUGGACGGAGCCAAUAACUCUUGGUGAGUUGUUCACACAACUUUCAUCCUUUGAAC
Panicum virgatum (switchgrass) is the source of this 139-nucleotide small nucleolar RNA. RefSeq annotates it as small nucleolar RNA Z247. Lineage: Eukaryota; Viridiplantae; Streptophyta; Magnoliopsida; Poales; Poaceae. The record is from RefSeq and is a predicted model, not a curated record. The transcript has a single exon.